AUGCCGCCCCGACGUGGCCGCGGCCGAGGCCGAGGGCGAGGUCGUGGUCGGGGACACGAGCCUCCAGUGCCACCGCCUCAACCCGAACCUCCAUGGGAGCAUUGUCCGGUAUUUCAGCUACAAUUAGACGAGGACCCUGAGAUUAUGGCCCAAAAUUAUGACAAUUUGCUCGACACUAUUAUCAAUCAUAUCAUACAAAUUUGGCAAAACCUUCACAUUGAAGGAAAUGGCCUUAUUGAACAGGUUCAGACUUUGCCGAAAGGCGCGGGAUUCUAUGUGAUUGAAUUGCUUGCUCCGAUCAGUUGGGUUCAGGAUAAUUUUGGCCCUGUUAGGUUACUUUUUAGUUUUGACACUCUUUAUUGCAUUGGGUUUCGUAGAAAUGCUAAUUGGUAUAUCUUUAGCGAUAAUUAUGAGGAUAUGCAGAAUGUUCUCCGAAGAACUAAUGUGACACCUCUUACUUUUUCUGGCAACUAUAACAAGUUACGUGCCCGACUUCAACAACAUCCAUUUAGGGAUUCAAGCUCUCUUUCAGGCUUACAAAGAAUUAGCAGGUUAUCCCGGGUCGCUCAUCAAAGGUCCAUUGGUGACGAGUUGUGUUACCUUCUCAGAGACUCUUAG
This 618-nucleotide ribosomal RNA is filed under the name Triticum aestivum (bread wheat). RNAcentral describes it as "partial small subunit ribosomal RNA". The record is from RNAcentral. Lineage: Eukaryota; Viridiplantae; Streptophyta; Magnoliopsida; Poales; Poaceae.